This 212-nucleotide ribosomal RNA is filed under the name uncultured Mesotoga sp. RNAcentral describes it as "partial 16S ribosomal RNA". It matches the Rfam family "Bacterial small subunit ribosomal RNA", at positions 566 to 774 of the family's 1533-position model. The record is from RNAcentral. Lineage: Bacteria; Thermotogati; Thermotogota; Thermotogae; Kosmotogales; Kosmotogaceae.
GGAGCGUAGGUGGCCUAACAUGUCAACUGUGAAAACCCCGGAGCUCAACUCCGGACUUGCAGUUGAAACUGGUAGGCUUGAGGACGGUAGAGGAAGACGGAACUGCCAGUGUAGGGGGUUAAAAUCCUUAGAUAUUGGCAGGAACGCCGGUGACGAAGGUGGUUUUCUGGGCCGGUUCUGACACUGAUGCUCGAAAGCCAGGGGAGCGAACG